Molecule: long non-coding RNA, 1575 nt
Filed under: Coturnix japonica (Japanese quail)
Lineage: Eukaryota; Metazoa; Chordata; Aves; Galliformes; Phasianidae
Description: lncRNA (ENSCJPG00005012511.1)
Source: RNAcentral
UCCUGCUAUUGUCAGCAAAGGAGAAAGGUGAUACAGGAUUGGAAACUCUACUGGUUAGUCAUUGCUAGGAAUAAUAAUAAUUACUGUAAUAAUAAAGUGAAGCUUGCAGAAAUUGAAGCUGUGGUUACCUUCGCGCAGAACACCAAUGCUUUAAGUAGGCGAACCAGACUUAGAAAAGUAGAAUGAGGCAUCUGGAACUCUGUGAUUUAUCAAUGAGAGUCAAGGGACGAAGACACAACCUGUGUCCCUUCUCGGGUCUGUGACAAACACUGGAGCCCAGGAAAAACUCGGGGCAGACAAAUGACCCCCCAGGGAAGGAGUGAGCUCGUUUAGUGCCCUUUCUCCAGCCAUUCCACAUCAGCAAGUGCUGGGGAAUCAUUCCAAACGGCUUCAAGUAACGGAGUAUUUCAAUCUCAAAUCGCUUCACUCGCCCUCAAAUGGACAUUUCAUCAACUCGAAGCGCCUGGAUUCAAUUAACCUAUUUUCUUUAGACGUGGGCAGGAAAGCGGCGCACACACGGAGCCGCUAACACGGGCGGACCCCAGCGGCAGCUCCAGACGUCCCGGGAGCGGCGUUCAGCUUCAGCGGCUCAUCCGGAAUCAGACCGAGCUCCAGCUAACACACACGGAGCGAAACACACAGCGAGAACACGCCGGAGAGGGGAACAGAUUUCCGCUUAAGCGGCACAGCGCCCCGAAAAGCACGGCUGAAGGCGACAGAGGAGCGCGGCGCCCGACUGCUCAGCCCACACAGCCCCGCCGCCAAGUCCGCCCUGCCCCGGCUCCUACCUGAGCCCCACACCUGCCGGCCGCAGGGAGCGACAGAAGUCGGACGGGAACGGCGAGCACAAGCGCAAAGAGCGACUCUUAACUGCGCCGGGAAGAGAAGCAGCGCGUCCAGCAGCACCACGGCUCGGCACGCCGGAUCGGGGACGAACCCGAGCGGGGCUGGGGGCGGGACCGCCGCUCCGGAUUGACAGCAACCCCGGUUUAGCCAUCAAAUCGAUUUGCGGUGCCCAAGAUGCAAAUGCAUUUGCUGACAGCUCAUCCGAGACGUCUGCCAAGCGCUCAGCAGGUGUCAAAGAGUUUCAGGACAGGAGUCAUGUAAGUGUGGAACUCAGCUGUCAGCUCUGAAAACCAAGUCCUGGUCUCAGUCUGAGCUGUCAGACAUAUGUCAGGAGACAGAACAGCACAUACAACAUCCUUGCUGGGGGAGUUUGCUAACCCUACUGCUAACAUCAUGGAAGAAGAAAGUGCAACAAAGAUGAUUCUUACUUUCAGUAUUCCCGUGGAGGUAUGUGAGAGUAGCCUUAACUUUUAAACAUAACCUAAAUUAAACAGCAACAACAGCAACAAAUCAUGAAACAACAGCUUGUUUCCAAUUCAGCAUCAGAAGCAUACAGCAUUUUAAAUUAGCCUGAGAAAUGAGAGGACAUAGUAAGAUGUAAUUCUCUCCUCUGAUGCUCUAUAUUCUGCAAAUUCAUUAUAUUUACGUGCUGUAUUAAGCAGAUUGAGGAGCUGCUGUCAGCCAAUAGCAGGAAAUAAACAAAAGGGUGCAAGGAUAUAUUUGGAGAGU